RNAcentral lists this ribosomal RNA (253 nucleotides) under uncultured bacterium. RNAcentral's name for it is "partial 16S ribosomal RNA". It matches the Rfam family "Bacterial small subunit ribosomal RNA", at positions 103 to 354 of the family's 1533-position model. The record is from RNAcentral.
CGGGUGAGUAACACGUAUGCAACCUGCCUGCCACAGCCGGAUAAUCGGGAGAAAUUCCGUCUAAUACGGCAUAAUGCAUCGACGGGACAUCCUGUUGGUGCCAAAGGUUGAUUCCGGUGGCGGAUGGGCAUGCGUCGCAUUAGUUAGUUGGCGGUGUAACGGACCACCAAGACGACGAUGCGUAGGGGUUCUGAGAGGAAGGUCCCCCACACUGGUACUGAGACACGGACCAGACUCCUACGGGAGGCAGCAG